CUUUUAACCUGGCGCUGGGUUCAGGGUGAUCAAGAAUGCUCUGACCCCGGGUGGAGGUUCACCAUUGCACCUCGGUGGGUUGAAACUCGCGACGGACUCCAAUCGGGUGCGCUGGGGCGUGUGGUUUUUGUCAGUGAGGAAGCGUCACGUUCCUCC
Molecule: small nuclear RNA, 156 nt
Filed under: Trichobilharzia regenti
Lineage: Eukaryota; Metazoa; Platyhelminthes; Trematoda; Strigeidida; Schistosomatidae
Description: U1 spliceosomal RNA
Rfam family: U1 spliceosomal RNA
About the family: U1 is a small nuclear RNA (snRNA) component of the spliceosome (involved in pre-mRNA splicing). Its 5' end forms complementary base pairs with the 5' splice junction, thus defining the 5' donor site of an intron.
Source: Rfam by way of RNAcentral